ACAAACUUGGUCAUUUAGAGGAAGUAAAAGUCGUAACAAGGUUUCCGUAGGUCGAGUUCAGCCUACGACAACAGCGCCCAGCGCUGUUAGUCAGACCCACAGCGAUCUGGCGACACGCCCAUCGUGCGGAGAGGGCCUGGCAUUCAGGCAAACCCGCAGCCCACCGCCCUUACCCGGCGGUCGGUUCAGAGACUCAAUAGGCGUGGGUUCGGCGCGGCCGAGCUUGAGAUAGAGCCCAGCCCGGCAGGCAAUUGUCGGGACCAACUGGAACCUGCGGAAGGAUCAUUAAAGAAUAAUCCUAUUCUCUCUCUUUGUGGACUUAACCAUUGUUGCUUUGGCAGUGCCCCCGGCCUUCGGGCUGGACAGCGCCUGCCAGAGGACCGAAACCCUUGAAUUUUUGCUGUCUGAGUACUAUUUUCAAUAGUUAAAACUUUCAACAACGGAUCUCUUGGUUUUGGCAUCGAUGAAGAACGCAGC
Molecule: unclassified non-coding RNA, 477 nt
Filed under: uncultured fungus
Lineage: Eukaryota; Fungi
Description: partial contains small subunit ribosomal RNA, internal transcribed spacer 1, and 5.8S ribosomal RNA
Rfam family: 5.8S ribosomal RNA (bases 429-477)
Source: RNAcentral